AGAGUGAACGCUGGCGGUAGGCCUAACACAUGCAAGUCGAACGGCAGCACGGUAAGAGCUUGCUCUUAUGGGUGGCGAGUGGCGGACGGGUGAGGAAUACAUCGGAAUCUACCUUUUGGUGGGGGAUAACGUAGGGAAACUUACGCUAAUACCGCAUACGCCCUUCGGGGGAAAGCCGGGGACCAGCAAUGGCCUGGUGCUGAUAGAUGAGCCGAUGUCGGAUUAGCUAGUUGGUGAGGUAAUGGCUCACCAAGGCGACGAUCCGUAGCUGGUCUGAGGAGGAUGAUCAGCCCACACGUAGGGAACU
Molecule: ribosomal RNA, 307 nt
Filed under: uncultured soil bacterium
Lineage: Bacteria
Description: bacterial SSU rRNA
Rfam family: Bacterial small subunit ribosomal RNA
Source: RNAcentral